This 286-nucleotide long non-coding RNA is filed under the name Lathyrus oleraceus (garden pea). Its description in RNAcentral is "Pisum sativum (pea) long non-coding RNA (PSAT_LNC027221)". The record is from RNAcentral. Lineage: Eukaryota; Viridiplantae; Streptophyta; Magnoliopsida; Fabales; Fabaceae.
UGCAAUCUAGGAUACCUAGGAAUAGAGUGAUUCAUGGGAAGCGGGUGGUAUGGCGCCACUUAGCGGAACAUUGAUAUCACGAGCAGUUCAGACCCUGGUGGGAUGCUGUCGUUACAUACUUCGGGUGUGUAUAUGACAGUAUUCUGCGAAAGGUUAUUUAUGCUGCGUUUCUCUCAAGCCUUACCCUGGCCUAGACUACACCCGUGAGUGGGGAAGGGUUAUUUCAUUACAGGUACCGUUGGUGACUCGGUUCUGUUGGUGACUUGGUUCUGAUGGUGACUUUGUG